Hyaena hyaena (striped hyena) is the source of this 687-nucleotide long non-coding RNA. RefSeq lists it as uncharacterized. NCBI's taxonomy places the organism in Eukaryota, Metazoa, Chordata, Mammalia, Carnivora, Hyaenidae. The record is from RefSeq and is a predicted model, not a curated record. The transcript is spliced from 5 exons.
CUGCGGAAGGGUAGUUGUGGGGUAUGGCCGCCUUCUGUCUGCGUCUUCCGCCCUGGAUCUCUCUGCCAAGCGCCGAGGGCCAGACUAAAGAGACGCCACAAGGCUUGACCGCUGCCCGGCCUUGUCGAUGAAGCAAUGUAAUCCUGCAGAAGACUACUGCCGGCCUCCAGCUGGGAAGGGCACAACUGAGCGUGAGUUCUCGGAUGAAGGCACCACGUUGGUUGGGGAGUCGGCGGAAAUGAAGAGGAACUGUUCUAGACUUCCAAGUCAACACAGAGUAAGAGCAAAAUGAGAGAAAGAUAUUCAAUGUCUGCGGUGCAGUAUCCAUCUUUCAUUCCUCUUUUUAAAACCCUAAACCGCUUUCCUCCAACUGUAUCCACCACAGACCUUCCAUCAGAAUAUCUUUCGCUGCCUGAUUGGCAGGACGAAGGACAACAGUAACGCGCAGUUCUGGCAAGCGUCUGGGAGCGACUGGCAGUGCAGAGGGCGGUUUGAAACCGUACAACCAUAGUGAAGAAGAAUCUGGCAAACACUUUAAAAAGUUCGUCUCCCUUAAACUUCUAGAAAAAAUUGUACAAGUACUCGAAAGAAUGUUCACUGUAAUAUUGGGUACAGUAACCAAAACUUAGGGGAUUAGCAAACGGACAAAACCAUAAAAUGAAAUGCCAUAUUGUCAUUUUAAGAUAU